RNAcentral lists this ribosomal RNA (272 nucleotides) under uncultured bacterium. RNAcentral's name for it is "partial 16S ribosomal RNA". The record is from RNAcentral.
CUGCUGCCUUCCGUAGGAGUCUGGUCCGUGUCUCAGUACCAGUGUGGGGGACCUUCCUCUCAGAACCCCUAGACAUCGUCGCCUUGGUGGGCCGUUACCCCGCCAACAAGCUAAUGUCACGCAUGCCCAUCCGUCUCCGGAGUUGCCUCCUUUGGCCGAAACGAAGAUGCCUCCCCUCCGGCCACAUGCGGUAUUAGGCCGGAUUUCUCCGGGUUAUCCCGCUGAAACGGGCAGGUUGCAUACGCGUUACUCACCCGUGCGCCGGUCGCCGG